GACCUUGGGUCACGCUGUCCGGGGCUGCCCUCUCACCUCAAGGCUUACGCUGGAGCCGAAUGAAGAGGCUGCUGGACUCGCCGUCUCCAGGUCCCCUGCAGUCACCCACGCGGAGUAGGCGCAGCGCCCGGGUUCCUGAGCAGGUGGGCACAGCUCCAGGCCCCGCAGAGGAGACCAGGGGGAGGCCUGGCCCAGUGAGAAGCCGUGGGAGCGUGGCUCGGGGCGCAUCAGGGCUGGCUCACGUCGCUGGUGGGGAGUGGAGGAUGCGGCUGCAUCUGAAAACUGAUGAAGGGCCAGGGCUGUUGACAAAAUCCUUCAGCUGCCGCUCUGCCCUCAAUUCCACCUAUAAGGGACAUCAUGCAGGGUUGGUCUUUCUCUGUCUCAGCGUAAUGUCCUCAAGGUCCACCCAUGUUUCACAUAUGACAGCAUUAUUUUCUCCUGUCUCGAGGUUGAAUAAUAUUCCAGUGUGUGUGUGUGUGUGUGUGUGUGUGUCACUCCUUCUUUCAUGCAUUCAUCCAUCGCUGGCACUAGGCUGUCCGCACUUCCUGGCUGUUGUGAACGAUGCUGUAAUAAACACAGGUGCGUAUGUCUCUUCA
This is a long non-coding RNA of Myotis brandtii (Brandt's bat), 596 nucleotides long. RefSeq lists it as uncharacterized. NCBI's taxonomy places the organism in Eukaryota, Metazoa, Chordata, Mammalia, Chiroptera, Vespertilionidae. The transcript is spliced from 4 exons. The record is from RefSeq and is a predicted model, not a curated record.